This is a long non-coding RNA of Pezoporus occidentalis (night parrot), 943 nucleotides long. RefSeq lists it as uncharacterized. The record is from RefSeq and is a predicted model, not a curated record. The transcript is spliced from 3 exons. Lineage: Eukaryota; Metazoa; Chordata; Aves; Psittaciformes; Psittacidae.
GUUACCCGGCCGGCUGCGAGCCCUCUCCUAUUACGGGAGCCCGCGCCGCGCAGGGCCGGAGGGCGGGAGCGGAGCCCCGGCGGGAAGCAGCGCGGCCCCGCGGCCCGCCUCCGGGGCUGUGCGGCGUGAGCUUCCUGACCGCGGCGCCGGGGGUUUCCGAGGGCUUCCGCGGGGUUUUGCUGCUAAUCGGUGAUACGGGGGUUUGGGGAUAUGAGUACACUGAACAGCACAUGUCCCAGCACUGAUUUGUGCAGACGCCUAUACCAUUCAGCACCUCCCUCCAUUGUGGGAGCUGGCCUGCUUUAUGUGCCCUGUGAACUGAAAAGGGAUAUGUUAUUCCUAGUAUUACCUCAUUCCUCCUCCAGUGACUGACAAACAUGCAUCCCAAGGCUGUGCUGAACAUGUAGGAAAAAUUGACAAAAACAAAUCCUGAGAUUGUGUGACAUUCUUGGGAAAGCUCAAGGAAGUGUGACUGCAUGUCUGUACUAGUAUUUGUAGGGACCUUCGAAGCUUAAGUUAUUUUCCUAUAUACAUAGGCUGUGAACAAGAGGACUAGUGCCACUGAAGUUAGUGGGAACUGCAGACACCAAACACCUCUAAUAACUGGGCCACGUGGUUAUGUGAGGCAUUGUUAUUAUACAAAAAGGCUUUUAUUUCUGCUCUUUUUUCUCUGCCACAUAAGCUGACCUAGUUCACAAUGUGCCUCUGUACAGAUGCAUGCUCUUCCAUGGGCAGAAAGACGGCAGGCAGAGCCAUUGCCAAUGAAGAGUGCCUGGAGUUAGGAAGGGGAAGAGACACAGGGCAGCUCAGGAUGGUGAGAUAAAGAGAAGGAAAUGAAACACAAAGACAUUUAAAGGAGAAGAGAGAGAAAUGGAGAGAAGACAGAGAAGUCAUAUCCAUAUCUGCUGCCCCUGAAGUAUCUAGGAGACAGAGGAUUUACUCA